This 449-nucleotide ribosomal RNA is filed under the name uncultured bacterium. Its description in RNAcentral is "partial 16S ribosomal RNA". It matches the Rfam family "Bacterial small subunit ribosomal RNA", at positions 29 to 523 of the family's 1533-position model. The record is from RNAcentral.
AGCGAACGCUGGCGGCAGGCCUAACACAUGCAAGUCGAACGAAGUCUUCGGACUUAGUGGCGGACGGGUGAGUAACACGUGGGAACGUGCCUUUAGGUUCGGAAUAACUCAGGGAAAAUUGUGCUAAUACCGAAUGUGCCCUUCGGGGGAAAGAUUUAUCGCCUUUAGAGCGGCCCGCGUCAGAUUAGCUAGUUGGUGAGGUAAAGGCUCACCAAGGCGACGAUCAGUAGCUGGUCUGAGAGGAUGAUCAGCCACAUUGGGACUGAGACACGGCCCAAACUCCUACGGGAGGCAGCAGUGGGGAAUCUUGCGCAAUGGGCGAAAGCCUGACGCAGCCAUGCCGCGUGAAUGAUGAAGGUCUUAGGAUUGUGAAAUUCUUUCACCGGGGACGAUAAUGACGGUACCCGGAGAAGAAGCCCCGGCUAACUUCGUGCCAGCCGCCGCCGUAA